Esox lucius (northern pike) is the source of this 1355-nucleotide long non-coding RNA. Lineage: Eukaryota; Metazoa; Chordata; Actinopteri; Esociformes; Esocidae. The record is from Ensembl.
AAAGAUCACGUCAAGAAGGUAAAACUAACCCCAACUCUCAUUUUAGAUUUUUUUUUUUUUGUCUUAUGCACAAAAUGUUAGAGCCUGCUAGUCAUCCAAAACCAGUUAUCCAAAAAUACAUAACUGCAUAAUAUGCUAUGAUAACCUGUCUCAAACAAAAUAGCAGUACAAAAUUAUUAUCAUUAGAAAUGAUUGUAAUGCAACUCUUGCUAAAAUUGAAAACAAAGAUUAUGGUCCUAUCAUUUCAACUGCCCUCCCCGGCUUUUUUGUUUGCUAUUGUUUUAGAAUGCUUAAAUGAUCAUCAGUGAGAUCUUCAACAGUCAUGGUUUACAAAAACAUCAACCUCAGCUUGAGUUGCAUGACUUGCAUUUAAAUAUUAGUCUUGCAUGAAUGAUGGUGAACAUUAAUUAGCUGUCAACUGCACUUGCACCAGAGUCUCAUUGUGUUUCUGUCCCCAGGUUUCAGCCUAAUUUCCCUCUGAGUUUGAGAAAGGCAAUGGAUUUGAGCUGAUUAGUUCUCAUGGUAUAAUCCAGUGAACAUAUUUUUAAGACCACAGAUGACUUACAGAGCCUGGCAGCCUAAUGGUUUGGGAUUUUACUCACAGAGCCUGGCAGCCUAAUGGUUUGGGAUUUUACUCACAGAGCCUGGCAGCCUAAUGGUUUGGGAUUUUACUCAAGGUUUGACAAUCGGUUUGUUAGAAAUGAGGAUAGGAGAAUGUGCUGGUCAGUCACCUAGGAAUAAUAAAGCGCCUUGGAAUAAGACAAUUGUCCAGAGGAAGAACUUUUGAGCCUACAGUACAUUGAACAUAAUUGGUUAAUUUACUGUCUGGUUUGGAGCAGAACUGUUAGGAGUAUACUCCUGGAGUACAGUAUGAGGGGCCAAGUUAGAAUAGUAUGGUCCUGUUGCUUGUUAAAUUUCCUUGACAUUACUACCUCAAUUUUACAUUGUCCACAUUGUUAUGAAAAUGUAGUUCUUUGUAAUGUCUUUAAUGUUUUUGCUUUUACAACUAUGUCAAAUGCUGCCUUACCAUUAAAGUCUAUAGGCCAAUAUUAACAGAAUCAUGGGUUAUUUUAAUAAUUUUUAAAUGAGCAUUAUUGAACUUGUCCCCACAAUGUAAAUGUCUGUCUGAGCAUUUUAAAGUUCUCCCCAGGAAUAAACGUUAACUAUUUGGUUGUGAUUAAAAUGAUUGGGCCAUUACAAAAUUUUCAGCCUAGUUACUUCCACUAACUUUGAGCUAGCUUUGUCAAGUUAACUGACACGUAAUGUUUGUCUUGGGGGGGAAAACCGAACCAUUGAUUUGUUUUUUGGCCCAUAUGCUACUUUAAGGGUGAGGACAUUACUUCAAGUGAUUGUCU